RNAcentral lists this ribosomal RNA (253 nucleotides) under uncultured bacterium. Its description in RNAcentral is "partial 16S ribosomal RNA". It matches the Rfam family "Bacterial small subunit ribosomal RNA", at positions 524 to 776 of the family's 1533-position model. The record is from RNAcentral.
GACGAACCGUACGAACGUUAUUCGGAAUCACUGGGCUUAAAGGGUGCGUAGGCGGCGCGACAAGUUGGGUGUGAAAUCCCUCGGCUCAACCGAGGAACUGCGCCCAAAACUGUCGUGCUCGAGGGAGACAGAGGUGAGCGGAACUUAGGGUGGAGCGGUGAAAUGCGUAGAUAUCAGGAGGAAUACCGGUGGUGUAGACGGCUCUCUGGACCGUAACUGACGCUGAGACACGAAAGCGUGGGUAGCAAACAGG